GACGAACGCUGGCGGCGUGCUUAACACAUGCAAGUCGAACGGACAGGCCCUGCUUUUGUGGGGUGCUCGAGUGGCGAACGGGUGAGUAACACGUGAGUAACCUGUCCUUGUCUUUGGGAUAACUCUAGGAAACUCGGGCUCAUACCGGAUAGGAGCUCUUGCUCCAUGGUGGGGGUUGGUAAGUUUCGGCGGUUCGAGAUGGACUGGCGGCUUAUCCGCUUGUUGGUGGGGUAGUGGCUUAACAAGGCUACGACGGGUAGCCGACCUGGGAGGGUGACCGGCCACAUGGGUACUGAGGUACGGCCCAGACGCCUACGGGACGCAGCAGUCGGGAAUAUGGCACAAUGGGCCGGAGCCUGAUGCAGCAACGCCGCGAGCGGGAUGACGGCCUUCGGGUUGUAAACCGCUUUCGCCUGUGACGAAGCGUGAGUGACGGUAAUGGGUAAAGAAGCACCGGCUAACUACGUG
Molecule: ribosomal RNA, 468 nt
Filed under: uncultured bacterium
Lineage: Bacteria
Description: partial 16S ribosomal RNA
Rfam family: Bacterial small subunit ribosomal RNA
Source: RNAcentral